This 521-nucleotide long non-coding RNA is filed under the name Athene cunicularia (burrowing owl). RNAcentral's name for it is "lncRNA (ENSACUG00000001920.1)". Lineage: Eukaryota; Metazoa; Chordata; Aves; Strigiformes; Strigidae. The record is from RNAcentral.
CUCCUCAGCAUGGACUCUAUGAUCAAAGAGAGCAUCCAGAAAGCUGUGAUCCAGCUGGAAGACAAGAGAGACAACAGUAAGCGUGCCACUAAGAGAAUCAUGAUCAUUCACAACUUGCUUUUCCAGGAUCAUAGUAGAACCACACUGUCAAGUCAUUUCAUGAGUGUGCUGAAAAGGAGAAUUUGCUACCUUCUACAAGAACGUGAGAAAAUAAGCCUUGAGCCAAGGGAGUGGGUGUUCCGCAGAGCUGUCUCCAGUGAAUUUAUCCUUGAAGACACUUCAUUCAGGCAUGCACUUUGGAUGCAUUUAGAAGACAUUGUGGCGAACCUGUUUGCUCAAAUUCUCGCAGUGGUGGAUGCUAACAACAACCUGGAUCAUCUCUCUCCACUGUCUCCACUCUCAGAACUGUGGCUUCAGAUGUUCAAAGAAGAAUCAUUCUUGAGAAUUAAAUAUACCAGCAACAGAACAUAUACCAGUGACAGUCAGAAAAUUCUCUGUGAUGCUUCAGUUCAAUACUCAUA